AUCCAGCUGACGAGUCCCCAAAUAGGACGAAACACGCGUCCUGGAU
This 46-nucleotide non-coding RNA is filed under the name Schistosoma haematobium. The record is from RNAcentral. Lineage: Eukaryota; Metazoa; Platyhelminthes; Trematoda; Strigeidida; Schistosomatidae.